CGGGAUAACCCGGAGAAAUCCGGCCUAAUACCGCAUGUGGCCGAGGGGAGGCAUCUUCUUUCGGCCAAAGGAGGCGACUCCGGAGACGGAUGGGCAUGCGUGACAUUAGCUUGUUGGCGGGGUAACGGCCCACCAAGGCGACGAUGUCUAGGGGUUCUGAGAGGAAGGUCCCCCACACUGGUACUGAGACACGGACCAGACUCCUACGGGAGGCAGCAGUGAGGAAUAUUGGUCAAUGGGCGAGAGCCUGAACCAGCCAAGUCGCGUGAAGGAUGACGGCCCUACGGGUUGUAAACUUCUUUUGUCAGGGAGCAAUUGAGUCCACGUGUGGGCUUAGCGAGAGUACCUGAAGAAAAAGCAUCGGCUAACUCCGUGCCAGCAGCCGCGGUAAUACGGAGGAUGCGAGCGUUAUCCGGAUUUAUUGGGUUUAAAGGGUGCGUAGGCGGAAUAUCAAGUCAGCGGUAAAAAUUCGGGGCUCAACCCCGUCGUGCCGUUGAAACUGAUGUUCUUGAGUGGGCGAGAAGUAUGCGGAAUGCGUGGUGUAGCGGUGAAAUGCAUAGAUAUCACGCAGAACUCCGAUUGCGAAGGCAGCAUACCGGCGCCCAACUGACGCUGAAGCACGAAAGCGUGGGUAUCGAACAGGAUUAGAUACCCUGGUAGUCCACGCAGUAAACGAUGAA
This 680-nucleotide ribosomal RNA is filed under the name uncultured bacterium. RNAcentral describes it as "bacterial SSU rRNA". It matches the Rfam family "Bacterial small subunit ribosomal RNA", at positions 139 to 813 of the family's 1533-position model. The record is from RNAcentral.